AUUGAACGCUGGCGGCAGGCCUAACACAUGCAAGUCGAGCGGAUGAAGGGAGCUUGCUCCUGGAUUCAGCGGCGGACGGGUGAGUAAUGCCUAGGAAUCUGCCUGGUAGGGGGGUAUAACGUCCGGAAACGGGCGUUAAUACCGCAUACGACCUGCGGGAGAAAGUGGGGGAUCUUCGGACCUCACGCUAUCAGAUGAGCCUAGGUCGGAUUAGCUAGUUGGUGGGGUAAAGGCCUACCAAGGCGACGAUCCGUAACUGGUCUGAGAGGAUGAUCAGUCACACUGGAACUGAGACACGGUCCAGACUCAUAGGGGAGGGAGCAGUGGGGAUUAUUGGACCAAGAGCGGAAGAUUGAUCCAGACGUGCCGCGUGUGUGAAGAAGGUCUUCGGGUGGGAAAGGACUUUCAGUGGGGUGGAAGGCGAGUACGCUUAUACCUUGCUGUUUUGAAGGUACCAACAGAAUAAACACCGGCUAACUUAGUG
Molecule: ribosomal RNA, 484 nt
Filed under: uncultured bacterium
Lineage: Bacteria
Description: partial 16S ribosomal RNA
Rfam family: Bacterial small subunit ribosomal RNA
Source: RNAcentral